This 228-nucleotide long non-coding RNA is filed under the name Carica papaya (papaya). RNAcentral's name for it is "long non-coding RNA (CPAP_LNC005704)". Lineage: Eukaryota; Viridiplantae; Streptophyta; Magnoliopsida; Brassicales; Caricaceae. The record is from RNAcentral.
GUUGUUCAGUGAUAUGGGCAACAAAUUCUUCCAUCCAGACAGGCUUGCUUCUCACCCUGGUGCUCUUCCUCGUUUCAGACUCUUGGGGGAUGAUGUUUGGUAAGGGAAUUUCUUCUCUUCUUUGUAACUGGUUUUCAGGUGUGGUUGUUGUGUCGAUGCUUGGUAUUAAUAGUGGUGUGUCAUGAUAAUCUGGUUUAAGGUGUUGUGUUUGGUAUUGGUGAAUAUGUU